ACGGGGGCAACCCUGGUGGCGAGUGGCGAACGGGUGAGUAAUACAUCGGAACGUGUCCUGUAGUGGGGGAUAGCCCGGCGAAAGCCGGAUUAAUACCGCAUACGCUCUACGGAGGAAAGGGGGGGAUCUNAGGACCUCCCGCUACAGGGGCGGCCGAUGGCAGAUUAGCUAGUUGGUGGGGUAAAGGCCUACCAAGGCGACGAUCUGUAGCUGGUCUGAGAGGACGACCAGCCACACUGGGACUGAGACACGGCCCAGACUCCUACGGGAGGCAGCAGUGGGGAAUUUUGGACAAUGGGCGAAAGCCUGAUCCAGCAAUGCCGCGUGUGUGAAGAAGGCCUUCGGGUUGUAAAGCACUUUUGUCCGGAAAGAAAACCUCCGCCCUAAUAUGGUGGGGGGAUGACGGUACCGGAAGAAUAAGCACCGGCUAACUACGUGCCAGCAGCCGCGGUAAUACGUAGGGUGCAAGCGUUAAUCGGAAUUACUGGGCGUAAAGCGUGCGCAGGCGGUCCGCUAAGACAGAUGUGAAAUCCCCGGGCUUAACCUGGGAACUGCAUUUGUGACUGGCGGGCUAGAGUAUGGCAGAGGGGGGUAGAAUUCCACGUGU
RNAcentral lists this ribosomal RNA (607 nucleotides) under Paraburkholderia sp. Its description in RNAcentral is "bacterial SSU rRNA". It matches the Rfam family "Bacterial small subunit ribosomal RNA", at positions 73 to 676 of the family's 1533-position model. Lineage: Bacteria; Pseudomonadati; Pseudomonadota; Betaproteobacteria; Burkholderiales; Burkholderiaceae. The record is from RNAcentral.